GGAGCUGCCCAGGCCAGUCUUUCUUCUCCCUAAAUUCCCCUUAUUUGCUUUAGGCAGGGUUACCUGCUUUGCAGCUGCUGGUUUCCCAAGCUGUUGCUAGGAGAUUGUUGGGGAUGCCGCUAUUUGACCUCAGUGGAGUCCCUUGGACUGGGCCUGGGGUUGGGCAUGAGGAGGCCAGAAUGGCCAGCCAAGAAGCAGGGGUCGACGUGGGUCAAAUCUAGCAAAGGACGCUGCUUUGGGGACUGGAAUACGGCUGUCUAGCACACACUCCCCGCCCGCGCCCCAGCCCCGCAAGACGAUGAAGUGACUGAAAGGCUCAGUAUUCGAGGUAGUUUGUACUCCCUAACCCAGCACCUGCAUUCCUGGAUCACCUCCCUCUAAAGCCUGAUGAGGACUCAAUUUCCCGCCCGCCCCACCUUCCUUCCUCCUCGACUGAAGCUGCGGGCUUCUUCCACCGCCACCAGGUGGCACAAUGAACUACUACUUGGACCCGCCUAGCAACCAAGAUUAGCUCCACUCUGCUCUGGGAGCCGGAACAUUUUGGAGGAGAAAGAGAUCCUGAUUAUCUUGGCAAAGGAAGAGAGCAAGAUUGCUCUACUCAGUGAGAAUAAAAUGGCCAAAUCCUAAA
RNAcentral lists this long non-coding RNA (628 nucleotides) under Monodelphis domestica (gray short-tailed opossum). Its description in RNAcentral is "lncRNA (ENSMODG00000035368.2)". The record is from RNAcentral. Lineage: Eukaryota; Metazoa; Chordata; Mammalia; Didelphimorphia; Didelphidae.